Molecule: ribosomal RNA, 468 nt
Filed under: uncultured bacterium
Lineage: Bacteria
Description: partial 16S ribosomal RNA
Rfam family: Bacterial small subunit ribosomal RNA
Source: RNAcentral
GACGAACGCUGGCGGCGUGCUUAACACAUGCAAGUCGAACGGAAAGGCCCUUUCUUUGUGUGGUGCUCGAGUGGCGAACGGGUGAUUAACACGUAAGUAACCUGCCCUUGACUUUGGGAUAACUUCAGGAAACCGGGUCUAAUACCUGAUAUGAGCUCCUGCUGCAUGGUGGGGGUUGGAAAGUUUCGGCGGUUGGGGAUGGACCGGAGGCUUCUCAGCUUGUUGGUGGGGUAGUGGCUUACCAAUGCUUUGACGGGUAGCCCGCCGGGCAGGGGAGACGGCCCCAUUGGUCCUGAGAUAGGGGCCAGAGUCGUACAGUAGGCAGCGGGGGGAAACUUUGCCCAAUGAGCGGAAGCCGGAGACAACAACCCAGGGUGCGGGAAGACGGUCUUAGGGGAGUGAACCGGUUGCGACUAUGACGAAGCGUUAGUGACGGUAAUGUGUGAAGAAGCACCGGCUAACUACGUG